This 301-nucleotide ribosomal RNA is filed under the name uncultured bacterium. RNAcentral describes it as "partial 16S ribosomal RNA". It matches the Rfam family "Bacterial small subunit ribosomal RNA", at positions 509 to 808 of the family's 1533-position model. The record is from RNAcentral.
CAGUAGCCGCGGUAAUACGUAGGUGGCGAGCGUUGUCCGGAAUCAUUGGGCGUAAAGGGAGCGCAGGCGGGCAUGUAAGUCUUUCUUAAAAGUUCGGGGCUCAACCCCGUGAUGGGAAAGAAACUACAUGUCUUGAGUACAGGAGAGGAAAGCGGAAUUCCCAGUGUAGCGGUGAAAUGCGUAGAUAUUGGGAGGAACACCAGUGGCGAAGGCGGCUUUCUGGACUGUAACUGACGCUGAGGCUCGAAAGCCAGGGGAGCGAACGGGAUUAGAUACCCCCGUAGUCCCUGUCUCUUAUACC